This 1459-nucleotide ribosomal RNA is filed under the name uncultured bacterium. RNAcentral describes it as "16S ribosomal RNA". It matches the Rfam family "Bacterial small subunit ribosomal RNA". The record is from RNAcentral.
GACGAACGCUGGCGGCGUGCUUAACACAUGCAAGUCGAGCGGAAAGGCCCCUUCGGGGGUACUCGAGCGGCGAACGGGUGAGUAACACGUGAGCAACCUGCCCUCAGCUCUGGGAUAACCCCGGGAAACCGGGGCUAAUACCGGACAUGACUCGGUCAGGCAUCUGAUCGAGUGGAAAGCUUUUGCGGCUGAGGAUGGGCUCGCGGCCUAUCAGCUUGUUGGUGGGGUAACGGCCUACCAAGGCGACGACGGGUAGCCGGCCUGAGAGGGCGACCGGCCACACUGGGACUGAGACACGGCCCAGACUCCUACGGGAGGCAGCAGUGGGGAAUAUUGCACAAUGGGCGAAAGCCUGAUGCAGCGACGCCGCGUGAGGGAUGAAGGCCUUCGGGUUGUGAACCUCUUUCAGCAGGGACGAAGCGCAAGUGACGGUACCUGCAGAAGAAGCUCCGGCUAACUACGUGCCAGCAGCCGCGGUAAGACGUAGGGGGCUAGCGUUGUCCGGAUUUAUUGGGCGUAAAGAGCUCGUAGGCGGCCUGUUGCGUCGAUUGUGAAAACCCGAAGCUCAACUUCGGGCCUGCAGUCGAUACGGGCAGGCUAGAGGCAGGUAGGGGAGAGUGGAAUUCCUGGUGUAGCGGUGGAAUGCGCAGAUAUCAGGAGGAACACCGGUGGCGAAGGCGGCUCUCUGGGCCUGACCUGACGCUGAGGAGCGAAAGCGUGGGGAGCGAACAGGAUUAGAUACCCUGGUAGUCCAUGCCGUAAACGUUGGGCGCUAGGUGUGGGACUCAUUCCACGAGUUCCGUGCCGCAGCUAACGCAUUAAGCGCCCCGCCUGGGGAGUACGGCCGCAAGGCUAAAACUCAAAGGAAUUGACGGGGGCCCGCACAAGCGGCGGAGCAUGCGGAUUAAUUCGAUGCAACGCGAAGAACCUUACCAAGGCUUGACAUAUACCGGAAACAUCCAGAGAUGGGUGCCCCUUUUGGUCGGUAUACAGGUGGUGCAUGGUUGUCGUCAGCUCGUGUCGUGAGAUGUUGGGUUAAGUCCCGCAACGAGCGCAACCCUCGUCCUAUGUUGCCAGCACGUCAUGGUGGGGACUCAUAGGAGACUGCCGGGGUCAACUCGGAGGAAGGUGGGGAUGACGUCAAAUCAUCAUGCCCCUUAUGUCUUGGGCUUCACGCAUGCUACAAUGGCCGGUACAAAGGGCUGCGAUACCGCAAGGUGGAGCGAAUCCCAAAAAACCGGUCUCAGUUCGGAUUGGGGUCUGCAACUCGACCCCAUGAAGUCGGAGUCGCUAGUAAUCGCAGAUCAGCAACGCUGCGGUGAAUACGUUCCCGGGCCUUGUACACACCGCCCGUCAAGUCACGAAAGUCGGUAACACCCGAAGCCGGUGGCCCAACCCUUGUGGGGGGAGCCGUCGAAGGUGGGACUGGUGAUUGGGACUAAGUCGUAACAAGGUAACC